Molecule: non-coding RNA, 220 nt
Organism: Pelobates cultripes (western spadefoot toad)
Lineage: Eukaryota; Metazoa; Chordata; Amphibia; Anura; Pelobatidae
Source: the annotation of a GenBank genome assembly
GUACUCAGCAGUCUGUCUGUAUGUGUAUUCAUCAGUCUCUGUAUUCAGCAGUCUUGUGUGUGUGUAUUCAGCAGACUGUGUGUAUGUAUUCAGCAGUCUGUGUGUAUGUAUUCAGCAGUCUGUGUGUGUAUGUAUUGCAUUUGUUGGAGAUACUAAUAAAUAUAAGCUUAAUUUUAUCUAUUUAUAUCAUUAUUUAAAAUUUGUAUCAUUGAACUCUCUG